UACGAAGGGUGCAAGCGUUAAUCGGAAUUACUGGGCGUAAAGCGCGCGUAGGUGGUUCAGCAAGUUGGAUGUGGAAAGCCCCUGGGUCGUCAACCCUACGGGAACGUAGCAUCCAAAACCUAACUGAGCUAGAGUACGGUAGAGGUAGUGGAUACCUCGUGUAGCGGUGAAAUAGCGUAGAUAUAGGAAGGAACACCAGUGGCGAAGGC
Molecule: ribosomal RNA, 209 nt
Filed under: uncultured bacterium
Lineage: Bacteria
Description: partial 16S ribosomal RNA
Rfam family: Bacterial small subunit ribosomal RNA
Source: RNAcentral